UUUUCUCAAAUUGCAGGAAACUAUAGCUUCUUAGCUAUCCAUUCUCGCCAUUCAAACCUUAGUCUGAAUGUUGAGGUUCAUGUCAAACCUGCUAUACCAAAUCCAAAAGUGGAGCAUGAUGGAAAAAACUUCUCCACGGUCAUUGAAAAUAAUAAAAAGGUCUUUGAAGAGGACCUGUUAAAAAUUGGCUCUGUAGUCCGAAUAUUAGAAGAAAAAUGUGUCAAGCUAAAUGAAGAGAAGGAAAAAAUUGAGCAAACUAUGAAAAAAUUGC
Long non-coding RNA from Humulus lupulus (European hop), 271 nucleotides. RefSeq lists it as uncharacterized. The transcript is spliced from 3 exons. NCBI's taxonomy places the organism in Eukaryota, Viridiplantae, Streptophyta, Magnoliopsida, Rosales, Cannabaceae. The record is from RefSeq and is a predicted model, not a curated record.